UAUAUUCUGACACUAGUUUGCAUUAUUUACACUUUGUUUUGUCAGAAUACUACAAUACCCAUGAGCCUCGGCUGCUGUUGCUAAACAAAACUCGUUAAAAGUGAACUCGUUUAAUCUGCAGAUUGUGAAACCAGUUUUCUCAACAUCGUGAUCUUUAGCUUUUACCAGCUGUUAGUAAAUAAAUUCUUUAUGUCCACAGUCUAGUAUCUUCUUCUAACACAGUUGUUCAUCUUUUGCUCUGAUGGCUCAACAAGGAGUUUCAUAUUGAUCCAAACUGCAGAGGAGAGAAUUGAGUUUCACUAACUCACGGUCUCCUCCCACUUCACACCUCUAUUUCCCCGCCAGAACUCCUGGUGGCGCUGUAACAUUUCUGCACAUGCUACGUUAGCUACAGUGCUAAUGCUGCUGCAGUAGAAGUUUCAGAGACUCCAACAGUGUUUUUAUAACAAACCUGUAGCUGCAUCUGCAUGCUGAUAUUUCACCAAAAGUCAAGCAGUGAUCAACAGUGAUUGGCUGCGCCCACAGGGGUCAACGCAACUCUACAAGUGGUGAAAUUUCAAUAUAAUUUACUGUAGUCGGCCUCUAAAAAAUACCCCCCAUGUCCAAUAAAGGUCAGGACAUGACAUCAGUGUGCUCACUGGGCUCAUGACACACAUUCAUACCUUCAAAAUACUAAAUGAGUCCCUUUGAAUUCAUAUUUUGUGCCUUUGACUCUGUAAACCGCAGGCCGUGCAGACUGCAGACGGUAGAUCAGAUGUUUUGUGGUCAUCAUCGGGGUGGAGCUCAGUCAGCACAGCUUUCACUCUUUAACAGAUAAAAUCCUGCAGGCGGAUCCACUCGAUCAGAACAAGAUCAGAACAAGAUCUCCAUGACCAAACUCUCCCCGCCGGCUUUCUGACGCUUGUUAAUUAAUUGUCUCUGCACUAACAUCUGUCGUCUCUGGAGUCCCGCCGCGCGGUGCUGCGAUUCAACAUUUAUACAUGCUUCCUUACAGCAUCCGCAGUUUUAAUGAUGAAGCAUAUGGAAUACAGCCGAGCAGCAGAAGAAGAAGAAGGACGUUCAGGCUGCGAUGGCGCUCAGCUGUGACUGAGCUGCACUGAUCACAACCUCACAAACAAAUACAUCUGGUGAAAUCAGCACAAAUGUAAUAAAACAUAUGCAGUAAAGUAGGUGUUACAGACUGAAAAGUGCUGAUUAACUUCAAACUAAACAGUUAGAAAUUAACACGAUAUUUAUAAGUUUGAUCUGACGAGUAUUUAGCGAAUUUAUGGGCAAAAAUGUGAAACUAAAGUAAGUGAACUCAACCAGUUGUCCACCAUUAACUGGUUGACCAGAAAGAUUUUAACCUUAGCAUGACAGUUAAACUGCUUGGUCAGUUAGCUAACAGUUCAUUUUAACAGUUAAAACAGUUUGAUUCAAGUUAGUUAUGUUUAGUUUAAGUUAGAUAAAGAGUUAUCAACCACAACAGGAUUAGCUAUCAGUCAGUUUUAGUGGUUUAAACAGUUUGUUUAAGGUUAGCUAGCAGCUCUGUUUACUCUCAGUCAUUCUCACUUUUCUCUUCCUGUAAAACAUUAAAAUAAGUUUGAUGACUCCUCUUGAACUUUAUUUGUGUAUUUAAUCAAAUGUGAUGUGGGGAGACAAGCUAACCUGGUCCAUUGUAUAAACUCACACCUGACCGUUAGCUCGUUAGCUAACAGAGCGAUAUCUUAGCAGGACGUGUAUUUGGAUUUCAGCUGUUUUCAGGUCAUAUCGUACUGUAAUCCUCUUGUAACUGUGUACCGCCCACAUAUUCUGCUUCACUGGGAGGUACAGAAGCUAUAGAUGUUCUGACUUAACUAUGAACUUUAACAAACUGUGUUAACGUACACUGUCCAGUUAGUGACCAAGCUAACAAGCUUACUGACAGUCGCUGCUGUACAGUCAGAUCUGUUCAACAGGCAGAGACGUUGUUGAGGUUUUUGCUUUUGAAGAUUAACAGACAAGAAAGAGCUUCAGCUGAUGAUCUAGCAGAAAUGGAAUAUAAUAUUCGAGACGCCUGCAGAGAAAGAGACGCUUCCACCUUCACCGGCAGCUCGGCCUGGCCCACAUCCCUGAGAGUGUGUUACAGCGUCGGUUUCGUGGAGACGGUGAUGAUGUCACAGCGCAGGCAGGUACAGGUGUGUUGAAGCUGAGCUGCUGCCGUCGGCAGUGUGGAAAC
Thunnus maccoyii (southern bluefin tuna) is the source of this 2197-nucleotide long non-coding RNA. RefSeq lists it as uncharacterized. The transcript has 3 exons. The record is from RefSeq and is a predicted model, not a curated record. Lineage: Eukaryota; Metazoa; Chordata; Actinopteri; Scombriformes; Scombridae.